Molecule: small nuclear RNA, 117 nt
Filed under: Rhinopithecus roxellana (golden snub-nosed monkey)
Lineage: Eukaryota; Metazoa; Chordata; Mammalia; Primates; Cercopithecidae
Description: U5 spliceosomal RNA (ENSRROG00000024471.1)
Rfam family: U5 spliceosomal RNA
About the family: U5 RNA is a component of both types of known spliceosome. The precise function of this molecule is unknown, though it is known that the 5' loop is required for splice site selection and p220 binding, and that both the 3' stem-loop and the Sm site are important for Sm protein binding and cap methylation.
Source: Rfam by way of RNAcentral
AUGCUCUGGUUUCUUGUCCAAACAAAUAAAUCUUUCACUUUUUACUAAAGAUUCCCAUGGAGAGGGACAGUUGUGAGUUCGUAACCAAACUUUUUAAGGCUUUGCUUAGGCAGGGCU